AUGUACCUACACCCAACAACCGGGUGGCUGCUCGACUCCUUCCACCCGCCGAUCGAAGAGAUGAGAAGGAUAGGGCAUGUGGCGGCUAUCGCGCUGCCCCUGCCGGAGAAAUUGCCGGUGUUCUGCCUGAACGCGGGUAACAUAUGCCCGUGGUGCUGGUCCUCCGAGGGUCGGGCUGGUGGAAUGGUGGAAUUGCUUUUCCAAGCUGAUGCUAAGGAUAUGAGAGAGAAGAAACAUGAUGGUGUGCAUUAUGCAUCGCUACAGGACUUUGCUGCGAAGCCUGCUUCUUUCAGCUUCUACGGGCCCUCCAGUAGCACCAUCUGUAAGUGCCAUAUCUAUCUAUCUCAAGCUGUUUUUGUUAAAGAUCUUGAUAUGUAA
RNAcentral lists this ribosomal RNA (378 nucleotides) under Triticum aestivum (bread wheat). RNAcentral's name for it is "partial small subunit ribosomal RNA". The record is from RNAcentral. Lineage: Eukaryota; Viridiplantae; Streptophyta; Magnoliopsida; Poales; Poaceae.